UCCUGGCUGGCUCAGUUGCUAGAGCAUAUGACUCUUGAUCUUGGGGUUGUGAGUUCAAGCCCCACACUGGGUA
Molecule: non-coding RNA, 73 nt
Organism: Canis lupus familiaris (dog)
Lineage: Eukaryota; Metazoa; Chordata; Mammalia; Carnivora; Canidae
Source: Rfam